Non-coding RNA from Paramuricea clavata, 366 nucleotides. The record is from the annotation of a GenBank genome assembly. Lineage: Eukaryota; Metazoa; Cnidaria; Anthozoa; Malacalcyonacea; Plexauridae.
AGCAAACGUUGUAAUUCAAAAUAUAUAGUGGAAACAUUUUUAGGGACACCCUAUAGAAACAUCAGGUAUUUAUUGGUUUGUAUAUAUACUGUAAUAUACUUUUAUUAUUGAAAUGCCAUUAAGAAGCCAUGAGGCCGUUAAUCCUUAUAAAGGCUCAAAACAUUCAAAGGGAUAUUAAUAUUACUACAAAAGCACAUGCAGACACAGUUGUCAGACGAUAUACAGUAGAAUUGUCAUUAAAGUCAUUGUGACAGUGUUAUAUACACAUUACAGCUAUCAGAGGCUAGUCAGCUAACUCUAACAAAGCGCAUUCUUCUGAGGAUUUAUUGCUAUACACGCUAUAGCUGUGUUUAAACUUGCAUGAAG